CCGCCGCCGCCACCACCACCACCACCACCACCUUGGCCACAUCCGCACCGCAAGCACCUAAGUGUCUUUUUUGCUCGAACCUAUCGGUGGUUUAAAAAAACUGAUGGGCCCUGGAUGUAAUCCAGCGGCCGAGAGCGCAUGCCUCUGCCCUCGUCACCAGUGAAGAGAGUGUGUAGGAGGUCUUCGCAGAUUCUGGAUAUUGAUCCCCUGUUUGGACUUGAGGCCCAUUCCACAGAAGGGAAACAUGCCAGCUUUCCCCGGGCUGCUGAGGCCAUGGACCUCAGAAGAGAGUCUGCUCCCACACUUCGCUAGAUCAGCAUAAUUCCUUCCUGCCUUCUAAAACUUCUUUGUUUUUUGUUUUCCAAGAAAAGGUAUCUCUGUGUAGCCCUGGCAGUCCUAGAACUUGCCCCAUAGACUGGGCUGGCCUUGAACUCAGAGCUCUCGACUGCCUCUGCUUCCCUGGUGCUGGGACUAAAGGCGUGCGCCACCACCCAGCUCUACAUUCUAAAUCUUAUCCUUACACCCAGAGAUACGUGUAGCUCCCGCCGCUCAUCAGGGAAGCCUCUCUCUACAGCACAUGGAGACCAUCACAGAAAACGACAACUGGACACAAGGCGGAGUUCAACAGACUGUGGGAAGCCAGCCCCAGAAGACACGUCUGCAUCACAGCCCUUGCAUCUGUGGCUCAGGGGACAUCACAGAAGAGCAGGCAGAGAAAUCAUAGGAGCCAGAGGACCAGGAAGUCUGCUGUGAAACCGUCUCUCCUAGAAAUGGCUGCAUAAACAAGACCAGAACAAUGGCCAUAUCAUUGGAAACGUUAACAUGAAAGGGGGAAUCUUUUGCAGGGUCCCACCCUACACAAAGAACUACAAGCAAAUAAUGACCGCUAGGGGAUGGAGACUUCACCUCUCCCAAGAGUGAGCCUCCUAAUUGGUUGUCAGCCUUGGAAUCAUAUACACACCACCAACGUAAACAGACUCGGCAGGUGACAGUUAUAUGUACUUGCGCAUACACAUGCGUACACGCACACAUAUAUGUAUGCAACAGCAAUAAUAAAAGAAAAAGAGGCUAUCA
Peromyscus maniculatus bairdii (prairie deer mouse) is the source of this 1074-nucleotide non-coding RNA. The record is from RefSeq and is a predicted model, not a curated record. Lineage: Eukaryota; Metazoa; Chordata; Mammalia; Rodentia; Cricetidae.